RNAcentral lists this long non-coding RNA (3445 nucleotides) under Sus scrofa (pig). RNAcentral's name for it is "lncRNA (ENSSSCG00060004421.1)". The record is from RNAcentral. Lineage: Eukaryota; Metazoa; Chordata; Mammalia; Artiodactyla; Suidae.
ACUUCGCAGAAAGUGAAAGCUGUGUCUCCAGUAAGGAGGAAGUGUGCAUUUAGCAAGAGAUCCUGAGCUGAUGGUAUGAAAUUCUGUUGUGUGAGCGAUGAUGCCACAACAUACCUUUCUGGCCGGACAAGGUUAAUGGAAUCAACUCAUGUGAGCUUCUGGAGCUCUUCUAGUUGGGCACAGGAUCAUCUUGCCAUCAAAUGUGACCUGACACGCUCAACAACAGUUGAUAUAUGUGCAGUAGUUACUAAGGCUAAACUCUUGAUCAAUAUGUCAGAUUUCAAAAGCGAUUGCAACAAAGUAGACUCUGGAUUAUGAGGGAGCUGAAUGCACAAAGGCAAUGGAAGGACAAAUCAGGCAGGACUGCCUGCAUUUUGCAUGUCAAAGGACAGAGCGCAUGAUGCUGGAUCUAUAAAUGCUCCAAGUACUUAGGAAGGCAGUAGUCUGUGGAUCAUUUGGUGGACUAAAAAUGUUAAACAUUACAAGUUAAUUAUUAGUAAGAAGAAAGAGAAAAGAAGCAUGAGCACACAGAGUUCUGUAAACCCCAGUAAUUCUGCCCAGGCCUGUGACUUGCUCAGACCUCACCUAAGCAUCCAUUAACAUGAUAAUGCGCAUUAAUCCCGCCAAACACAACUCAUCUGUCAUCCUCAGUGGCAACCCAUCUGUGUGCAUGUUGAGGGGGGAAAUUCACAGUCUUAGCUGUCGAGGGAUUAGCUUCAGAGGAAAGGCUGAUUUUCCGUAAUUCUUUGCUAGGAAAGCACUCAUUUGUUUGCAUUUAUUGAAGCACCUAUUUACUUUUCAGCUUUCAUCAUCUCACCAACAUCUUAAGCAGAAGCUAAGCAGAGAAUGGAUAAAAUGGCAAUAAAAACAUUUCAGGACAAUCAGGAUGAAGCCUAAAUUCUCUCUCAAAGUUUGUCAUAUUAUUUAUUCUUAUUUCUUUGGCUGAUCUUAGAUAUGCUUUCUGUCAGAGUGAAGGAGAAAUAUGCACAUAAUUUUAUAUCUUUAAAUGUUGUUUAUUAAUGGGCUGUGCUCUUCUAUAUUGUUUUUAUCUAAUUGAUAUAAAAUGGGUAAAAAAUGUAUGUUUUAUUGCCAUAUUUAUUAUCUGCUGUGUGAAUAAGAAAGAGAUGACACUGCUUCAGAGGGGGUAAAAAUUAAAACCAGCUUAAUUUUUUUUCUCACUACUUAUUUAAAAACAUGCACAGUGAUUUCUCUCCUUGACAUGAAACCUUAUCCAGUGGUUAAACUGGUCUGUUCUUCAGGCUAUAUCUAACUUUGGACAAAAUUAUAUAUGUAUAAUAAACAACACAGAUUUCCUUCUAAUGUGAACCUACAAAAAUAUGAAACACAUUGGGAAGGGAAAUACCAUUAAAAUGUUUUGAGGGUAAACUAUUCCAUCCAGUCAAUUUAGUGGAAAGAGAAAUCAGUCACAAGGCAUCAUGACUGGUUGGUUGGCUUAAUUGUUCACUUUUCAAUGGGUUAGUUUUGAAUAAUCUGGCAAUGACCCCCUGUGUUAAGGAAAAGAUGCAAAUAACCAUUUAAAAAUAGCCAUCAUCAAGCAACCAAUUUGGCUGAUUUUUCAUCAAAAUGAUCUGUCAUUUAAUUAAACUGAUCAGCAAGUUUAUUCAAGAAUCAUAUUAUUCUUUGGGAAUGGAUAGGCAUUUUUUGUUAACACUUAUAAAGGCAGUGACUCUUUUAUUUUAGUUUGGCUGGUCUAACAUGCCAUAAAGUAUGUCCUGUGUGAUGUUAAAAAACCUUACAUGCAAAUGUUUCAUCACAUAAUAAGUUUGAUAAAAACUGAGCUAAAUAAAGUUAACCAGAUUAAUUCAUUCAGGACAUCUUGGUUAAUAAAUUCUGUGCGUCUGUAUUUCAGAAACACACAAGGAAGUUAUUUUACAUUUUAAACUGUUUCCUCUUCUGAAAAGUGGGGACAAAGAUAGGACCUCAAAUCAAUUAGCUAAUAUUGUUAGAAUGUAUAUUUUUUUCCAAACAUAUUUGGCAAAGUAUCUUUCUCCCAAGUAGCAUUGCCUGGAAAUUAAUCUGCAGACUUUACUCCCCUAGAGUAACACUGUAAGAUUUCUGUUGUUAGAAAUAUCUAUUGGAAGAUUUUUCCAACUAAUAAACACUCAAUGUGAAGAGCUAACAGCAUAUUUAAGAAAGAAAAAAAAAGAGGCAAUUAAAAUUAAAGCCAAUACAUUUCAGGAUAAAGGAUCAAACUCUAAAACUUGUUACUUGAACAACCUCUUUUUGGGUACCUGGUACUAAACACUCAUUACCACCUGUCCAUCACACCUGGAAAAUGAAACAGAUGUUAGAAAGCUGACACAGUAAAGCAAGGACUACUAUUUAGCUUUCGUUUUCUUUAUUCUUCCUUUCAAGAUGCUGCUAAUGGAAAUGACCUAGAAAUCUGUGUAUGGCAGCACUUCUGAAAAAGAACAUCUAUGUAAAUAGAGCAUGAAGGAGGCAUGAAAGAAUCUAGCAAGCUCCAUUUGGGUCUUUAGACCUAAUAGCCCAGAUUUGGCCCUCAGAUGUGCAUGCAUGCACGAGGUAAUACUAAAUUUGACUGAAGCUAUGAAAACAAUCCUAAAGCAAAAUGAGUCCAAUGCUUGAUACCUAAAGAGUUGAAACUGCAAUUUCCAGACGAGAUAGUCAUAGAAAAGUUACUUGGGCGCAGAAGUGUCCUUCAUCCUCACUGAGACUAAGCGUGGCAUUUUAAGGAAAAGAAAAAUAGAGUUUUUAAUUUUUUUAGAGAGCUAAUAACAAGAUUUCUUUUCAAGUUUAUUUGAAUACAUUAAAAGUAAAUUUUGUGAAAUAAAAAACACUUCAUUUCAAUCAUUUAAAAAUAUGUGGGUAUUUGUGAGCUAUCAAAGUCAGUGAAAGAUUUAAAACUUGUAUAUGAGUAUAGAACUUCAGUUCCACCAAAGUGAACUCAGUGCAUUUGCUUGAAUAUGCAAUGGUGCAGUCACUAAAAUAAAUGUACUUGCUGCACUCAAUUAAACAUUGUAUUGUACAUGUGUGUUUAUUCAAUUGUGUGACGAUACAGUGAUUGAAACACACACGCUUGCGCAUUUGUCUCAAUCUGCAGUGCAUUUAUUUAAAUGUACAAUCAAUCAUAGGCCUCUGCUUUUAGAUUUUCCUUUGUAUUUUUAGAGAAUACUAAGUAUAAACCAUUGUGUAUAUGCUAUGACAUAGUGAAGAACUGAAAUGUACAUUAAAUAAAGCAAUAUAAAAUUGGAAAUUUCAGAGAAAGAAAUUAUGCGACCAAUAUGUGUAAAUGGGUAACUGCUGUCAAGUCUAAUAUAUAAGGUCAGAGUUUUAUGUUCUGAACUGCUCCAGUUGAUAAAUAGCUGUGUGAAUCAUGGUAUUAAUAUAUCUUUAACGGUAAUUAACCAAAAUGAUGUAAAAGAUAUUCAAAGCUAUAUUAAAAUAUUUACUUCAUAUUUGUAAA